UGGGGAAUAUUGGACAAUGGGCGAAAGCCUGAUCCAGCCAUGCCGCGUGUGUGAAGAAGGUCUUCGGAUUGUAAAGCACUUUAAGUUGGGAGGAAGGGCAGUAACCUAAUACGUUGCUGUCUUGACGUUACCGACAGAAUAAGCACCGGCUAACUCUGUGCCAGCAGCCGCGGUAAUACAGAGGGUGCAAGCGUUAAUCGGAAUUACUGGGCGUAAAGCGCGCGUAGGUGGUUUGUUAAGUUGGAUGUGAAAGCCCCGGGCUCAACCUGGGAACUGCAUCCAAAACUGGCAAGCUAGAGUACGGUAGAGGGUGGUGGAAUUUCCUGUGUAGCGGUGAAAUGCGUAGAUAUAGGAAGGAACACCAGUGGCGAAGGCGACCACCUGGACUGAUACUGACACUGAGGUGCGAAAGCGUGUGGAGCAAACAGGAUUAGAUACCCCCGUAGUCCCUGAGCGGGCUGGCAAGGCGCAU
This 472-nucleotide ribosomal RNA is filed under the name uncultured bacterium. RNAcentral describes it as "bacterial SSU rRNA". It matches the Rfam family "Bacterial small subunit ribosomal RNA", at positions 355 to 825 of the family's 1533-position model. The record is from RNAcentral.